Balaenoptera acutorostrata (minke whale) is the source of this 1122-nucleotide long non-coding RNA. RefSeq lists it as uncharacterized. The record is from RefSeq and is a predicted model, not a curated record. NCBI's taxonomy places the organism in Eukaryota, Metazoa, Chordata, Mammalia, Artiodactyla, Balaenopteridae. The transcript is spliced from 2 exons.
GCUCCCGCCCUUGGCCCUGCCCGCUUAGCCUCAGCUCCGCCCCUCAAGCUCUGGUAGACCCUCCCUGAAGGCCCCUCCCCUACCCCUAAAGUACCUCCCCCUCCCUCCUCAGUUUCCUUUCCCAGGGUCGAGCUCCGGGUCCUGAGGGUCGGUUUACAGGGUCCCAGCCGAGGCUUCCGGGCCGAGCAGUGGGCGCGGGCGGUUCACCUGACUACGACCGGGGUCGCACGCAUUCGAAGCAGAGGCAGUAGGCAAAGACCUUCAUUGCUUUAAAUCAUUCAAUGAUCGGCGAACCCCUUGGAAUGAAUCAAAGCAUGCCCGCUCUCCAGAUGAGGAAAUGGAGGCUGAGAGAGAUUGCCUAGAGUGAAACACAGUAAAGAAACGUCUGGGGAUUCAAACCCAGAUCACGCUGACACCACAAAGCCAGUGCCCUGACCACCGCCUCGUCGCCGACCCUCGCAUUUCCCUGAGAGCAGCCGGCCCUCGCGUGCGGAGUGUGGGCAGGAAUCCGCACUGCGAGGAGAGACGGCUGGGGGAGCAGUCGCUCUCCGCGGCCUCUGCCCUCGCCGGCUGUGAGAUCCCGGAGGCUGGUGUCAGCUAAGCUGGGAGCCGAGGGGGCUGGCGCCCUGAUCCGUGAAUGACCCCCACGGUCCCGCGGCAGCCCCGGCUGGAGCCUAUCGCAGCAUCUCCCCCUCCCCUCAGGGGACCAAAAGGAAAGGCCCACCCGAGUCACCUCACAGAAUCGUUGUGAAGAUUAAAGGGAGCUAUAGUAAAAACUGGAAAACCAAUGCAACAAACAGAUAUUACACUGUAUUUUUAAAAACUCAUUUUAAGGCUAUAUAGUCUAUUUACUAGGUUCCUUUCAAUAUGCCUUCCACUGUUGGACGCGAAAUCUGGUCACAUGUCAUCUUUUAUUUCAUGUCCUCAAAAAUAGUAUUUAUCAUAAUCAGUGACGACUUCCUUCAUAAUAGAUUAUAUUCACAUGUAUUCUCUCUUCCCUCUCAAAUGUCGUAACUACCCAUUUUGAAAGAAAAUUUCAGAACAUCAUUUUCUCUGCAUUCCCCUCCUCACUUUUUUUUUUUUUCAAAUCACAUUUAUUUUAAAUUUAUUUAUUUAAUUAUU